UCAAUAGAAGCAAUCGAAACCAGUAUCAUUCAUUCACAAACAUCUUUCAUUUAUUCUUUACACAAUCUCAAACCAUAUCAGACUACAUACAUUUUUCAUGAAUUCUAUGCAGAUACACAACAAAUAGAAACAGACUCCAUUCCACUCACCUAUGAGGUUAUUUCUAUGACUCGACGCUCUAAAGAUCAUAACCCCACACAGCAUAUACAGACACAGCCACACAAGAACAUACAUAAGCUUUAAGGACCUCAAACCUUUACACUUUAGAUUGGAGACAUAUGACAUAAUUGAAACAAUACAUUGCAGAAAAGAAAGAAACCUCUUAAUCUUGUUAAAGCUCUAAACUUUUUGUGCUUGAUUCUUGUUGUGAGUGUUGGUGUGUGUGGCGUGAGUCGGGGAUGUAGCAGGGCAGAGGGGCCUCGGCAGAUCGCAGAUGGAAAGGUGAGAAAGAAAGAGAGAGCAAGGGCGAGGGAGAGGAAGGUCAGGGGUGGCGGCGACGGCGGCUGCCGGAGGUCGGCGUUGCUGUCGUCUGCUGGAAGAGAGAAGGGAGAAGAGGGAGUGCUGCGGCGCGCAGCUGGGUGUGUGCGUCUGUGUGUGUUUUGGUGUGUGUGUUUGUGAGAAUGUGUGUGAGUAGGUGAAAGAGAGGGAGAAUAGGAAUUGAAAAGAAAAUG
This 671-nucleotide long non-coding RNA is filed under the name Salvia miltiorrhiza (redroot sage). RNAcentral describes it as "long non-coding RNA (SMIL_LNC012038)". Lineage: Eukaryota; Viridiplantae; Streptophyta; Magnoliopsida; Lamiales; Lamiaceae. The record is from RNAcentral.